Long non-coding RNA from Strigops habroptila (Kakapo), 2859 nucleotides. The record is from Ensembl. Lineage: Eukaryota; Metazoa; Chordata; Aves; Psittaciformes; Psittacidae.
UUUUUUCUGGAGCUAUUUGAAGGCCAUAAGUGGCCAGGCUACUCACUGUUGCCUUUACCGCUGAUUGUAAAAGUUGGGGUGAUUUUCCUGCAAGUAAAAUAUCAUCCAUAUAAUGAUAACAAAGAAUGUGAGGAUGUUGUUUGCGAACCUCUGAAAGUGCCUUUGCAACAAUAUGUCCUUGUUGUAACUGAGCUUCUACCAGUUGCCAUAAAGCUUCGGCCUUCUCAAAAGGGAGGGGCCACUGAUCCACCCAUACCGGCUCAUCUGUGAGCCAGGUUAACGAAAUGGUACGCCGGUUUACAGUGACCCCAAUUAAAAAUGCUUCUCAUUUUUAUUUGUGGAAAUUGUAACCCCCCAAGCUCCAAGUACAUCACGCCCCAAAGAUUAAGUGGUACAUCCACUACAAAUGGGCGGAUAUUAGCUGUCUAUCCCUCCGGCCCUAUGAUUUGAAUAAUGGCAGUACUUCGCUUGGAAGAUGACACUCCCCCAAUGCUGGCAAUACCCACAAUCACGCUAGUGGUCUGCCAAGUUUUUGGCCAGUGAUUAGAAGAAAUUAUGGUUAUAUCAGCACCAGAGUCUAUCAUUCCUUGGAGCAUUAGCUGUUGUGGCUUCGCUCCCUCAUUUUUCAUGCAACAAGUUAAUGUGGGACGGUUACGUUGAAUGUGUUGUGUCCAAUAUAUUUGUGGCAUUCCGGUAGAUCCGAAACCAUGUUUUCCCCAGUGCCUUACAUUCAGCACUGUCCCUUUAAAAGGAAUGAGUUGUGCAAUUCGGCUGCCAGCUGGUAUAUAUACAGGAGGUGACGGAGUCCAGACCAUAGCUUGUAUUUGGCCUGUGAAGUCUGCAUCGAUUACGCCUGGGAGUAUGAAAAGCCCUAGAGACGUAGUACUCAAUCGUCCUAACAAUAAGGCACUUAAGUCCUCUCCGAGAGGGCCAUAUAUUGAGAGAGGAAUUUUGCGGACAGCAUUGUCUUUUAUGGUGAUAUCGGUGGCUGUGGUAACAUCCACUCCGGCACUUUCGCGGGUUUGCGCUCGGAGGCUGGCCAAGCCCCUGGGCAUGGCUGGCUCUGGGGUGGUUGAGUCGGGAGUUUUUGUGUCUGGGCGCACCCCUGUCUCAUGCUCCUUUUCCCCUUUCCCGAUAGCGGUUGACCAUUGAUAUCAAAUUGAGACCGGCACUGGUUAGCAAAGUGCCUGCCUUUUCUGCAUUGGGGGCAUAUAGCUGGUUGCUGUGGUUUCAAUUCUGGGCCUUUCGGGCAAACCCUUUUGAAAUGCCCUAAAGAGCCGCACCAAAAACACGCGCGAUUAUUCGUUUGUAAAGACGCCGCCAUCGCAGCCACAAAGGAUUCAUUAUUGUAAGCAACAGUUCCCACUCUAAGUGUCUAUCAUGUCAAUAGUAGUGGGGUUACACAAUGUUCUCAACAGUCGUUUAUAAUCCUCAUUAGCAUUUUCAAUGGCCAAUUUUAAUAAGAGAGUUUCUUGAGCUUCCGUAUUUUCUAUCUGGUUUUGUAUGGCGUCUUGUAAUCAAUCGACAAAUUGCAUAUAAGGCUCUGUAGCCCCCUGUUUUAUGCUUGUAAAAGACUUCACUGCUUUGCCAGUAUCAGGUACCUUAAGCAUCACCUCAUAUGCGAGGUCCGCUGACUGUCGUAAGAUUUCAGGUAUUAGUCGGGCCUGUAACUGCGGAGUUGCUAUGGGCGCCUCUCCCAUAAGUUGUGGGAUGCCCACUCCGAGCAGCGGGUCCCCUGGCUGUCAACCAAGAUUUUGUAUAGCUGCAUUAUCACAAAGCGCUCACCAAUGUGAUAACCAUAAUACCUUUUGCGUAGGCAUAAAAAUGAAGCCCGCUAGGGCCUUUGAAUCAAAUGGGGUCAUUAAAUGCCCUUUCAUAACAUUCUGCAGCAAGCUUUAUGCAAAAGGAGAGGUAAGUCCGUGUUGCAUGAUUGUUUUCCGUAAUUCUUUAACCAGAUCCCACUGUAAUGGUUCCCAAUCAUUGGGCCCCUGAUUACAAAUAAUGACAGGGCAGGUGAGCGCCUGUAUCACUAUCAGUUCCCCUUCUUCUGUCGCUUGUUGCUGGAUCUUAUGCCAGUGAUGUUCAGGAUCAUAGCUGGAGUUAAGUAACUCCUCCUGUCCAAAAGAACCUCGCAAAGUACCCAUAGAUUGAACAUUCUCAGGGGAACAAGGCAGGGUCGGUGAACCUGGCAAGUCAAGCAGAGGGGCUGCGGGAGGUGUUUGUUGCGGUGGAGCACUCACUGAACUCGAGCCAGCUUCCGCUGGCCCAGCUGCCGAUAAAGCCUCCGUCGUGGCUGCAUGGGCUGCACGAUCUGCCUCAAGUUGUUUAAAAGAGUUGAUUACUAACCGCCACGUUGUCAAUAGUCGUGUGGCGGCAUUAGCCCCUGCUGUGGCUGCAUCCCACAGUACUUCUCCAGCUUGCGACCAUGUCUCUACAUGAAAUGCAGUUUGUGCAUCUGCUGCUAUGCCUUUAUUUUUAAGCCAAAAAAGCAACAGCCGGAGAGUAUGUUCGUUGUAGGAUACACCCCGCUUUUCUAAAAUCUUUUUAAAUAUGCAGAUAAUGGACUUUUCUUCAUUCGACAUAUUUGCCCCCAUGUCGAUUCCCCGCCUCUCACCUCUCUUGGUGAUUAUCCCUGGAUUGCAGCUCUCUGGUUCCGCUGCCCUUGUCUCUAGAUAGGCUGGGGUCUCCACCGGUCGCUCGAGUAGCCGUGUUCAUGUCCCUGUUCGGGCACCAUUUGUGGAGAAUGGCGGCACGGACUCCGGUAGCCUUUUCAACCAAAGAGCUUUAUUACUCUAACAAAGCUGCUUUUAUACUUUAAGUACACGUUCAUGUGCUGCCAGGUUACAUCUGAUAGGGUAC